RNAcentral lists this transfer RNA (71 nucleotides) under Ictidomys tridecemlineatus (thirteen-lined ground squirrel). RNAcentral's name for it is "Spermophilus tridecemlineatus (thirteen-lined ground squirrel) tRNA". It matches the Rfam family "tRNA". From Rfam's summary of the family: Transfer RNA (tRNA) molecules are approximately 80 nucleotides in length. Their secondary structure includes four short double-helical elements and three loops (D, anti-codon, and T loops). Lineage: Eukaryota; Metazoa; Chordata; Mammalia; Rodentia; Sciuridae. The record is from Rfam by way of RNAcentral.
GGGGUUGUGGCUCAGUGGUAGAGCACUUGUCUAGCAUGUGUGAGGCACUGGGUUCAAUUCUCAGCACCUCA